CGCUCUCAUCUUUAUUAGACGAUAAAAUAGCACCCACCAACUACAGCCAGAAAUAACACAAAGGUGUGUCAUGCAGAACCACACACACACGUUCAAUGUAAGAAAAGAAAUAGUAAAUUACUUAUUAUUGAGUAGUAUGCCAUCUCCCCUCCCCCACGUACAUAAAUAAAAAGCAACCGUCCAGGUUUUACCCCCUGACCUUUUUCCACAUCAGCUAAGCCCCGUUUUGCUUUUCAGCCUGUUCCUUUGUUACAUAAUCACACUCUUAGUCCAUCCUUUCAUUUCCUUCCAAGUGCUUUCCAUCACUGCCCCCGUGUCUGAAGCUCAUUCCACCUACUGGCAUGCGGGUGCUGAAGCAUUUACUGUCCUCAGCCCAGCACAGUCUUUGCUUGCAAAUGCUUUAGAUUCUUUUCGUUGGGAGAUAAACCAAGAAAUCUGCAAAUUCAUACUUAAUCUGUCAUAGCCCUGUCACCCAAUUCAAUCCUCUCCAAACAAAAUCCUUUGGUGAGAGGAAGACAAUACCCUCGUUUCAUAAAUAAUUUUUCCACCAACCUUAAUCUGCUGUCUAUGAAUAUUAAUGAGUCUCAUCGAUUCAUGUCUCCAUUUUAUGUCCGAUAUUAGACACCUUCCCAGAAAGCUAGCUGUCAAGGUUGCAAAGGAAUCUAUUUCACUUUCACAUUAAAUUAGCAAAAUAAAAAAGGGUGGCUUCUUUGGCUUAUAGAUUUCAAAAAAUACCCCUUUAGCCCUAGACUCUGAUUUCUUUUACGUUGUUCCCAAAUUACAGGGCAGUCCUUGCAGGACAGAGAGGUAGGUCAUGUCUUUUUUGUCUGUUCUGGGCAAAAAGUUGACUGGUAAUUGGUGACAGUACGAAAAUUUUCCAGAGACCCAUUAAAUGCGUUUGUUUUACCAAUCUCCAAUUCUUUGACUGCCUUUCCCCCCCCCCAUGAUUUUUGUCGAGUGUAGGUCUAAAUUCCUAUGAGAUUCUGCUUCUUUUGGCUAUUUUUACUUUAAAAUUUUCUCUAGGCAGACCACAGAUGAAGAGGGAUAGGCUGCCACUGGCCUAUGAGAAAUCCUGGUGAAAAUUAAGAGUGUUCCUCUGACACACUAAUUAGAAAGCAGCAUAUGCCCUUCGGGUGGACAUUAGACACAGGAGCCCCUCUGGGUGAACACUGUCUCCGUGCCAGUAUCCAGGGUCUGGCAAGGGGAGGGUAGGCUGCCUUUUGUCAUCUGCUCCCUCUCCGCUGGGCAAUUCGGUUGUUUCUCUCUUGAAUCUUUCACACGCCUCCCUUAGCUGGUUUUUCAGACCCAGAGUUUUUGGGGACACCAGGGAUUGGUGAUCUUCCUCAAAUGCAAUUUACUUUUUUUCUUCUUUAUUCUUUUUUACAGCAUUCAUGUUAAACUCCUUAUUUAUAUGCCAGGUUUUACUGAAGUACCCUUAAUUCAUCUUUCCAUCUUUGAGCAAUUUGACUAGGAAUUUAAAUGACAUCCUUGGGUUUUUUGAUGAUGUUGUUGGUUGAUUUUUUAAUACAUGCUUUCAUAUAUUCAAAGACUUGUUUGCUGAUGGUAUUAUUUGUUGCUUAAACGACAAACAUAUGGCCAGCUGCCAGAGGAGCAGUGUUAUUCAGGCGGGUCCAGGAAAUCUGCUCUAGGUCUGACUAUACCCUUCCUUCCUUACCACUCAUGCCUGAAAUGCUACCUUAAAGCCACAUCCUUUUAGACUAAGUACAGCCCUGUUGCGAUGUACUACAGUUGAAAAGAACUAGGUAGACCAUGUCGGUCAUUGACACUUUAGUGAGAAUUAGUUUAUCAAAUCCUAUCCCAAAGGCAGCUAUGUAAGAGAAGAAAGAAGGAUUUGGGUAUAUAAUGUAAAAACCCCCUAGUUAGAAGCUCUGGCUAGGCUAGCAGUAUACACCUUGGUCAUUUUGAGAGAUCCCUCAGAGAACAAGGGACAUGGAAGUCAUGUCCCUGCCUUUGCCAUGUCUUUGUCUAGGGUAAUCCCAGGGUAAAUUAAGAGAUUUAAUUUGGUAUCAACUGUUCAACAGUACUGAUGGUUCCCAAUGUGACUAAGGGUGGGACUCUUGUUAACUUGUUGGAACAGCUGAGAACUCAGGUUCCUUCCUUUGGCUUAUACCAAUCACUCUCUGUUUUGACCUUGACCUUUGGUGCGUGUAUUGAACUUCUUGAAAGCCCCUGGCUGGUGAUAUUGGCAGAGUAGGACACACAUUUAAGGAAUUCACUUCUUACAUGAACAUGACCAUCUGUAGAAAGACUUACAGGAGACAGGUCCUAGGUGCAAAAGGAAUAUUGAAGAAAUAAGGACUUUUUAAGAUCAUUGAUCAAGUCCUGGACCUCUCAAAGUGGGCUGCAUACCACAUCGGAAGGCAUAAAGCCGUAAGUUAUGUACAAACUAAACAUGGUACAUUUUCUUAACUGUCAAUUUUACUAGAUAAUAAAAAAAUUUUAACGUUAGUUUUAAAUUAAAACAAGCUUGACUGUAUUAGGGAAUGGCAUACAGCAGCCACAGGAAUGUGAACAAGCACAGAGGAAAGUGAAUACAUGAUCACACAAAACAGAUCUGAGAUCUUAGAGAUACUCUAGGUCUGCAUUUUCAGAAAUGAUUAUGUAUAGAAACCGGCAGAACUUCUAAUGAAACUUCAAAACAAUUCUGCUGCUUUGUCCCUUUCCAAAUGGAUUCUAGAACACUGCUAUUUCUCGAAAAUCCCUCAGGUGAUCUGAAGGGGAUGUGAAGGUGCAGCCGUUGUUCUAUCUAUGACGUAAUUCUCUACAGGAUCAGCUACAUAACCCGUGGGGCCCAGGGCAAAAUGGAAAUGCAGAGGCCUUGUUAUAAAUUAUUUAGAAUUUUAAAAUAGCAACAGCAGAGGGUUAAACCAAGCACAGCGCCCUUCUGAGUGCACUGCCCAGGGCUCAUGCCCACGAGGUCGACCCUGCCCCUUAAGAGCCUGAAGGGUGUAUGCAGCGCUACAGCCAUCCUCGCAGAGCCUCUCCCCCAGGAAGAGGGAGGAACCACGCCUUCUUCCCCAUGUCCUAGUUUAUGGGACCAGGUUAUAAGCAUACACACACACACACACACCUGGACAGGUAGUUCAGAGAUGCCCCCUGGGAGAAGUGCUCAGCAGAGAUUAAAUGAAGGUUUUUUUCUAGUGUAAAAGCAUGUUUGCUUCAAGUUGAGAUGAAACUGUCACCUUUUGACUCUAACCUACAUUAGCUGGAUUUUAAAUUCUAGUUUAUGCUUUUCCCCCAAAUCACACCCUCCGCCCCAUUCCUACAUAAUUUCUCAUACUUGGGGCUGUCCUCUCCUGGAGGGGGAGCGCACACUCCCUGCCUGGACAGAGACCUCCGUGAGGGGCAGGAGCAGACGGACGUGUGUGGUCCUGAGGGGAACGCAGGGAGGGAGGACCAGGGAGGGAGGACCAGGGAGCUCUGCCGGAGGAACGGACAGUGCAUUUGUUCUCCUGAUAUUCAGCAGCCCGGCGAGGGACACGGAGUUAAUGAACCAAGGGGAGGGCGGGGUACACCAGGGAGUUCAGAGUAAGUGAAUAAAAUUCUCAGUAGAUCGCCUCUGGGAUUAAUAUGCAAGCUUUCCUCUCUCCCAGGGCUUCUUUUUGGCGAGGCUGCUAUGGAAUACUUGGGGCCAAAGACGGAGCAGAGCCCCAGAGAAAAGGCAAUGGUUCAUGUCCCCAGGAAUUUGCAUCAGACCCAGCAGACACGGCCUACAGGGUCAUAGAGGCGGUCUCCAAACCCUGGAAAUCACUGGCCAGCCAGUCCUGACGGCAAGGCCGUCAGCCCAGGCGGGUCUGCGGAGAGACCAGGUGUGGUCCUUUUAUGAGGACCGUCACUUCCCUGAUCAGCCUUCUUCAUGCCCGACCCUUGGCUGUGUCUGACUUCUACAGGCUCACCCCUAAUGUCUAAAGGCUGUCUCUCCAUCCAGAACUUUAUGAAAAUGGCCAAGCGUUCACUGAGACUUUAGAAAAGCCAUAGGAUGGAAGACACCAUAAGCGGUUGGCUAAAUACCUAACUGUAGGCCAUGCACAUGUACAGCUAGGUGAUGACACAAAACAAGCCACAAAUCCUGCAGGAGGGUUCUGGCUACAGUGGCCAGAAUGGACUUUCAGCUCAGGGAAGGGUGGGCUCUGCUCCCACAUCUGCGUAGCUGGAGGCAAAGAACUUAACCUCUCUUAGACUUUCUCCAAGAGUUUUCUUAUUUUCCCCGAAUAAAACAGAAGUUGUAUUGACUAUGUGUUUUAUAAACUUGUCUUAAGGAUUAAAUGAGAUGGGGUAGGUAAAGGUCUUAGCAUAGAACCCAACAGGUAUUCAGUAUGCAUAUACCUAUAUGCUAUGCAGUAGGCAUAUAGCAAGUAUUCAUAACAACUAUUAUUAGCCAUGAAUCUUUUCCUUUCUGUUGCUCCCACUUUGAGAAUUAACGGAAACCUUCUCCAGGAGUGACUUAAAAAGGAGAUGUUUCUAAUCAGGUUCUGUUCCAAACUUUUAAGAUGUUCUUGUCCUAAUUUUGUGUUCUUGGCUGGUUUUCUACGCCCCACAGGUCUCCAUCCACAAAAAGCCGAACAGGCUGGGUCAGAACCAAGGCCAAUAUAUUCAUUGAAAAGACAGAUUUCUCAGCCUCUGUCUCCUGCCGUUUUCAAACAUCACACUGGGAGCUUGAAUUGAGACCGGAAUCCUGAUUCGCUCCCUGAUCAAUUUGGACAAUGCUGGACAAUGCAGCGGUCCCUUCUAUUUCUUCCAAUGUGUGUCCAGCGAAGUGACCUCAGAAUUAUGUCUCUCUGAGCCACCUUCUAGCAGCUAGAGAGAGAACUCACACAGAUCAGAACUUCUCAGGGGGCACAUGCCCCUCAAAAAUGCAUCUUUGAUUGGCACAACAUUGUAAAUCAACUACAGUUUUAAAAAGCGUGGGGGAGGGAUGCAUCUUUGAGCAUCCUGUUGCAAAAUAAGUAAGGACAAUGAAGUAUGAUUUUUUUUUUUCAACAAAGCUUUUCAUUGAAAGGAUUGUCCUCUAUGCUGAGAUUACAGUUUGCUUAUCUUAGGGUAUAAUAAUGUGCAUUUUGUGUGUGUCAAGUGCAUGCCUGGACUUGACAAAAUAAAAAGUAGGCAAACACAUGUUUCCCUGCAUUACCACUUAAUUUAAAAAAAACAAUAAUUUUACCAGCUCAUGAAAUAAAAAAGCUGGAAACACUGAUAUGGACCACCCUGGGUGUUUGGGGAAAGCAAAUAACUUCCAGAUUAGCAGCUACCUGGAACAUUUUCCCCCAGACUGUAGUCCCCUGGGCUUUUGUUGCAUAAAAUAUUUCAUGUCUCUUACACAUGUGACUAUGGCAAAUGAGGGUGAAAGGAGCUUAACGAGAGUUCAUAGGUCCCCAAUAAACCAACGGUGGACUAGUAAGGAGGACAAAAGGUCAAGUGUGCUGCCUCUACUCCCAUCCCUGAUACAACCCUGCCUUUGUGCAAAAAGGCCUGAGUCCAUUUGCUGUUGAUGCUGAUCCAGUACUUCCCAACCCUAUGUUAAUACUUUAAAAUUUUUUAAAUGAAACAUCUUUCACUAGAGCUUCAACUUCCACCAGGAUUUGUUUGGGUUUGAAAAGAUCACUUUUUUUGGUGGGGGUCCAAUAUUGUAAAUUACUCCUCUGAUCACUCUAACUAGCAGGUCCCAAACUUGGCUGCCCAUGAGGCCUCAUUGUUAAUAACAUCUCCUGAAUUAUGCAAUGUUUUGCCCUAUCCACUCAUGUUUGCCAAUGCUGCCUCAGCAAGUAUUUCUAGAACACCCUCAGAAGAGCUGAUGUGGUUCUCUGAAGCUUUCCUGGGGGUGACGUGAUGCUGCAGCCAGGCUGGGGCCUUCACACACAUGGCCCUUGUUCCAGGCCUUUCCUUCUGAGUACCAGUCUCCCUCAUCCUCUCUUCACUUCCCAGGCCUUUGUGAUUAAUUUCUGCUGC
This 5964-nucleotide long non-coding RNA is filed under the name Sus scrofa (pig). RNAcentral describes it as "lncRNA (ENSSSCG00050044359.1)". The record is from RNAcentral. Lineage: Eukaryota; Metazoa; Chordata; Mammalia; Artiodactyla; Suidae.